GAUGAAGAACGCAGCGAAAUGCGAUACUUGGUGUGAAUUGCAGAAUCCCGUGAACCAUCGAGUCUUUGAACGCAAGUUGCGCCCGAAGCCAUUAGGCCGAGGGCACGCCUGCCUGGGCGUCACACGUCGUUGCCCCCCCAUCUACUCCUUCGGGAUUGCGGGGGGCGGAUGAUGGCCUCUCGUGCGCCUCGUCGCGCGGUUGGCCUAAAUGCCAAGUCCUCGGCGACGCACGCCACGACAAUCGGUGGUUGCGAAACCUCGGUUGCCUGUCGUGUGCGGUCGUCGCGCAUCGAGGGCUCGAAAAAAUUGCCGGGCUUCGGCUCGACUUUCAACGCGACCCCAGGUCAGGCGGGGUUACCCGCUGAAUUUUAGCAUAUCAAUAAGCGGAGGA
RNAcentral lists this unclassified non-coding RNA (391 nucleotides) under soil metagenome. Its description in RNAcentral is "partial contains 5.8S ribosomal RNA, internal transcribed spacer 2, and large subunit ribosomal RNA". The stretch from base 1 to 122 matches the Rfam family "5.8S ribosomal RNA", at positions 35 to 154 of the family's 154-position model. The record is from RNAcentral.